Molecule: ribosomal RNA, 498 nt
Filed under: uncultured bacterium
Lineage: Bacteria
Description: partial 16S ribosomal RNA
Rfam family: Bacterial small subunit ribosomal RNA
Source: RNAcentral
AUUGAACGCUGGCGGCAUGCCUUACACAUGCAAGUCGAACGGUAACAGGUCUUCGGAUGCUGACGAGUGGCGAACGGGUGAGUAAUACAUCGGAACGUGCCUAGUAGUGGGGGAUAACUACUCGAAAGAGUGGCUAAUACCGCAUGAGAUCUACGGAUGAAAGCAGGGGAUCGCAAGACCUUGUGCUAUUAGAGCGGCCGAUGGCAGAUUAGGUAGUUGGUGGGAUAAAAGCUUACCAAGCCGACGAUCUGUAGCUGGUCUGAGAGGACGAUCAGCCACACUGGGAAUGAGACACGGCCCAGACUCCUACGGGAGGCAGCAGUGGGGAAUUUUGGACAAUGAGCGCAAGCCUGAUCCAGCAAUGCCGCGUGCAGGAAGAAGGCCUUCGGGUUGUAAACUGCUUUUGUACGGAACGAAAAGCCCCGGGUUAAUACCCUGGGGUCAUGACGGUACCGUAAGAAUAAGCACCGGCUAACUACGUGCCAGCAGCCGCCGUAA